This 422-nucleotide ribosomal RNA is filed under the name uncultured bacterium. Its description in RNAcentral is "bacterial SSU rRNA". It matches the Rfam family "Bacterial small subunit ribosomal RNA", at positions 355 to 774 of the family's 1533-position model. The record is from RNAcentral.
UGAGGAAUAUUGGUCAAUGGGGGCAACCCUGAACCAGCCAAGUCGCGUGAAGGAUGAAGGUCUUAUGGAUCGUAAACUUCUUUUACACGGGAAUAAAGCGGGGGACGUGUCCCUCUUUGCAUGUACCGUGUGAAUAAGGAUCGGCUAACUCCGUGCCAGCAGCCGCGGUAAUACGGAGGAUCCGAGCGUUAUCCGGAUUUAUUGGGUUUAAAGGGUGCGCAGGCGGGAUGUUAAGUCGGCGGUGAAAUUUUGCAGCUCAACUGUAAAAGUGCCUUCGAUACUGGCUUCCUUGAGUGUGGAUGAAGUAGGCGGAAUUUGUGGUGUAGCGGUGAAAUGCUUAGAUAUCACGAGGAACUCCGAUUGCGCAGGCAGCUUACUAAGCCACAACUGACGCUCAUGCACGAAGGCGUGGGGAUCAAACA